UUUUUCUUUGCUCUCUCUCCUCUCUCAUUAGAGUUUCUAAAAGUUGCCCCAGACUGCUCAUAAACAUGGAGAAGGCCGGGCAGGCGGAUCCUAUGCUCGGGCUGCUGGGUUUUGGAGGAGGCAUGGACUUUGAAUCAGACAAAGCGUACAGAGAUGUAGCUCACAUCAGUACAUGUGAUGACGGCUGUUUGGCCCUUGCUGAGCUGUUGGGAUGGAAGG
Molecule: long non-coding RNA, 219 nt
Organism: Notothenia coriiceps (black rockcod)
Lineage: Eukaryota; Metazoa; Chordata; Actinopteri; Perciformes; Nototheniidae
Exons: 3
Source: RefSeq, a predicted model, not a curated record